RNAcentral lists this ribosomal RNA (2175 nucleotides) under Triticum aestivum (bread wheat). Its description in RNAcentral is "partial small subunit ribosomal RNA". Lineage: Eukaryota; Viridiplantae; Streptophyta; Magnoliopsida; Poales; Poaceae. The record is from RNAcentral.
AUGAAGAAACUUCAGUUGCACAACAAAACAUACAGCAAGGUAUUGCAGAUGCAUUGCCUUGGCGUUGCUCUUGUGUUGAUGGUCUUCUGCUUGCCCUCUCCUACCAGUUCCUGCACGGAGCAGGAGAAGGACUCCCUUCUCCGGUUCCUUGCCGAGCUCUCCCAAGACGGCGGCCUCUCCGCAUCAUGGCAGAACGGCACGGAUUGCUGCAAGUGGGAAGGGAUCACAUGCAUGCAAGACGGGACGGUCACCCCUGUCUUACUGCCUUCGAAGGGCCUCGAGGGGCGCAUCUCGCAGUCUCUUGGGACGCUCGCCGGGCUACAGUACCUUGAUCUCUCUCACAACUUGUUGUCCGGUGGUCUGCCGCUGGAAUUAUUGUCUUCCAGCAGCAUCGCCAUCCUUGAUGUCAGCUUCAACCAGCUCAACGGAACACUCCAUGAGCUGCCAUCUUCAACACCUGCCAGGCCUCUGCAGUUGCAGGUACUAAACAUCUCAAGCAACUUAUUUGCAGGACAGUUUCCAUCCGCCAUAUGGAAAGCAAUGGAGAAUCUGGCCGCACUCAAUGCCAGCAGUAACAGCUUUACUGGGCGGAUAACAACUCAAUUCUGUAACAGCUCACCAUCCUUCACUCUGCUUAAUCUGCGUACCAACAAAUUUAGUGGCAACAUCCCCCAAGGACUCAGUGAUUGCUCCAAGCUGCGAGUGCUCAGAGCCGGGGAUAACAACCUCAGUCGAACGCUCCCAGAUGAACUCUUCAAUGCAACCUCGUUCGAAUACCUGUCUUUCGCAAACAAUGAUUUACAUGGAGUUCUUGAUACUGCAAACAUAGUCAACCUCAGAAAUCUCAUAACCCUUGAUCUUGGAGGGAACAUAUUCAGCGGAAAGAUUCCAGAUUAUAUAGGCCAACUCAAGAGACUGGAGGAGUUCCAUUUGAACAACAACAACAUGUCAGGGGAGCUGCCAUAUGCUCUCAGCAACUGCACAAAUCUCUUAACAAUCGACCUCAAGAGCAAUCACUUCAGUGGAGAACUUGCCAAGGUCAAUUUCUCCAACCUGCCCAACCUAAAAACUUUAGAUCUAUAUUCCAACAACUUAUCCGGCACAGUUCCAAAAAGCAUAUACUCGUGCAGUAAUCUGACUGCACUGCGGCUAUCUACUAACCACUUACAUGGGCAGCUCUCGUUGAGACUAGGUAAUCUGAAGUAUCUCUCCUUCUUGUCACUUAGCAAAAACAAUUUCACAAACAUCACAAACGCACUUCAGAUUCUUCAGAGCAGCAAGAACCUGACUGCAGUGUUUAUUGGGUACAACUUUUGGGGAGAGAUCCUCGCACAGGAUGAAACAAUUGAUGGUUCUGGAAGUCUUCAGGUUCUCGAUAUGCAAGGUUGCAAUUUUUCCGGGACAAUACCUGUAUGGAUAUUAAGGGCUACAAACUUACAGAUGUUAAUUUUAUGUGGCAAUCGACUCACUGGGCCAAUACCAGGCUGGAUUAGCUCUCUACGUCAUCUCUUCUAUAUGGAUGUGUCAAGCAACAGUCUUACAGGAGAAAUCCCAUUAACCUUAACCGAGAUGCCAAUGCUUAAAUCAACUGAUAACGCAACUCAUUUGGACUCAACGGUCUUUGAGCUAAUAGUUUAUAACAGCCCAUCACUUCAGUACCGUAUGAUCACAUCUUUCCCAGCAGUGUCGAAUCUAGGCAACAACUACUUGACAGGUGUAAUUCCACCACAGAUUGGCCAGCUCAAAGCGCUUGCCGCUCUUGAUUUCAGUUUUAAUAAGCUAUCCGGGGAGAUCCCACAAUCGGUUUGCAACCUAACAAACUUGCAGGUGCUAGACUUGUCCAGUAACAAUCUCACAGGUGCUAUCCCAGUUGCAUUGAACGCCCUGCACUUCAUUUCAGCAUUCAACAUUUCAAACAAUAACCUAGAAGGACCUAUUCCAUAUGGAGGCCAGUUUGAUACAUUUCAGACUUCUAGUUUCAACGGGAACCCACAGCUGUGUGACUCUGUUCUCACUCAAAAAUGCAAUUCAGCAGAAGCGCAUCAACCCGUCAUUCUGUCAGAAAAAAGAGCUGACUAUAAGAUGGCCUUUGUGAUUGCAUUCAGUGCGUUCUUUGGUGUAGGGGUGUUGUAUGAUCAGUUAGUCUUGUCAAGGUAUUUUGGCAAGUCCUACUAA